Molecule: ribosomal RNA, 254 nt
Filed under: uncultured bacterium
Lineage: Bacteria
Description: partial 16S ribosomal RNA
Rfam family: Bacterial small subunit ribosomal RNA
Source: RNAcentral
UACGGGGGGGGGCAAGCGUUGUUCGGAAUUACUGGGCGUAAAGGGCUCGUAGGUGGUCAACUAAGUCAUACGUGAAAUCCCUCGGCUUAACCGGGGAACUGCGCCUGAUACUGGUUGACUUGAGUUUGGGAGAGGGACGCGGAAUUCCAGGUGUAGCGGUGAAAUGCGUAGAUAUCCGGAGGAACACCGGUGGCGAAGGCGGCAUCCUGGACCGGUAUUGACGCUGAGGCGCGAAAGCCAGGGGAGCAAACGGG